GAGUUUGAUCGUGGCUCAGGAUGAACGCUGGCGGAGUGCCUAAUACAUGCAAGUCGAGCGGCAGCACGAGUAGUUUACUACUUGGUGGCGAGCGGCGGACGGCUGAGUAACGCGUGGGAACGUGCCCCAAAGUGAGGAAUAACUGCCCGAAAGGGUAGCUAAUGCCGCAUAUGAUCUUCGGAUUAAAGUAUUUAUUACGCUUUGGGAGCGGCCCGCGUCUGAUUAGGUAGUUGGUGAGGUAAAGGCUCACCAAGCCGAUGAUCGGUAGCUGGUUUGAGAGGAUGACCAGCCAGACUGGAACUGAGACACGGUCCAGACUCCUACGGGAGGCAGCAGUAAGGAAUCUUCCACAAUGGACGAAAGUCUGAUGGAGCAACUCCGCGUGCAGGAUGAAGGCCUUAGGGUUGUAAACUGCUUUUAUGAGUGAAGAAUAUGACGGUAACUCAUGAAUAAGGGUCGCUAACUACGUGCCAGCCG
This 477-nucleotide ribosomal RNA is filed under the name uncultured bacterium. Its description in RNAcentral is "bacterial SSU rRNA". It matches the Rfam family "Bacterial small subunit ribosomal RNA", at positions 9 to 514 of the family's 1533-position model. The record is from RNAcentral.